Molecule: small RNA, 160 nt
Filed under: Chrysemys picta bellii (western painted turtle)
Lineage: Eukaryota; Metazoa; Chordata; Testudines; Emydidae
Description: TUC338 (ENSCPBG00000002700.1)
Source: RNAcentral
GUGAAAGGUGCAGCACUGUCUAAUGAAGUUCACUGUUUAUUCACAGUACAGAUAUGGACAGAGCAAGGAUCCCUACUCAAACCUCUCAAAGUGCCUACACCCUCACCUGCAGGGAUGAAAGGGUAUUUCAGCCUCCAUGUCUAUUCGGUCCUUGGCUUCU